ACCCAGACUCCUACGGGAGGCAGCAGUGGGGAAUAUUGCACAAUGGGGGGAACCCUGAUGCAGCGACGCCGCGUGAGUGAAGAAGUAUUUCGGUAUGUAAAGCUCUAUCAGCAGGGAAGAAAAUGACGGUACCUGACUAAGAAGCCCCGGCUAACUACGUGCCAGCAGCCGCGGCAAUACGUAGGGGGCAAGCGUUAUCCGGAUUUACUGGGUGUAAAGGGAGCGUAGACGGUUAUGCAAGUCUGAAGUGAAAGCCCGGGGCUCAACCAGGGGACUGCUUUGGAAACUGUAAAACUGGAGUGCAGGAGAGGUAAGCGGAAUUCCUAGUGUAGCGGUGAAAUGCGUAGAUAUUAGGAGGAACACCAGUGGCGAAGGCGGCUUACUGGACUGUAACUGACGUUGAGGCUCGAAGGCGUGGGGAGCAAACAGGAUUAGAUACCCCCGUA
Molecule: ribosomal RNA, 446 nt
Filed under: uncultured bacterium
Lineage: Bacteria
Description: bacterial SSU rRNA
Rfam family: Bacterial small subunit ribosomal RNA
Source: RNAcentral